Rosa rugosa (rugosa rose) is the source of this 1996-nucleotide long non-coding RNA. RefSeq lists it as uncharacterized. The record is from RefSeq and is a predicted model, not a curated record. NCBI's taxonomy places the organism in Eukaryota, Viridiplantae, Streptophyta, Magnoliopsida, Rosales, Rosaceae. The transcript is spliced from 13 exons.
UGAAAGAUAUUGAAAUUUGACAUUGAGUGAUAGAAUUAUUCUAUAUAUAAAGGAUGAAUGUUACUGUUACACUGUUGCUAAGAGUUGGAAAAGCCAUUUUUAUCCUCCACUGUUGGAGAAGAAUAUCAAGUUGCUAGAAAAGUCGUUUUCCUUGCUUUUGUUAGUGCUGAGAAAAGUUGUUUUCCUUGCUUAUUUCAGUGCAGGUUUAUAGGUUGUGAGUGAGACAGUGAGUUGCAUUACCGAAAGAAGAGAGAAGCAACAAAAGAGAGAGAUAGAAGAGAAAAGAAAGACGAACAGAAUAGAGGAAAAGAGGACAUCUCGGCGACAAGGUAUUUCUGAGAAUCGGAUUUGUGGUUUUCUCAGUGUUGGAUAGGCAUAACGAUCGGGGCAGGAAUUGGAAAAAACCCAAAGAAGAGAGAAGAAAGAAAAUAGAGAUAGAAUAGAGGAAAGGUGAAGAUCUGGGCAAAAAAAAGUAAAAAACCGAAAGAAGAGAGAAGAAAGAAAAGAGGGAUACAAGACAACCCAUUGCAAAGCCGAUCUGUCCUCUUUGGGAAGCCUCCAUCCGAAUCAAGGUUCAACUGACCUCAGAGUCGGUGAUCAAGAUCAAGAACAAGAACUGUGAGAACUUGUCUCCAUCAAAGUCCAAGCAAUCAAAUAGAAAAAAGGAGGAUGGGUCACUUUCAGUUUUUUUUUCUGCAAAAGGUAGACAUCAAUAUUUUGAUUCGUGAUUAGCUUCCGAAACGCAAGUUCUCAUUCUAUUCACCAACAAAGGGGUAUUAUUUGUGGUGGAGUUCGCGUCUUCGUUUUUUUGCUGCACAGAAACAGGGAAAGAGAUACGUUGAGUCUGCAACUCUGAUCGUGACUCUUUGACAGCCUGUCAGCUUUGUCUUCAUCGAUACCGCGAAGUUUUCAGAACUGGAAGGGGUACUUUAUCUGCUUUCAACAUGCUAGCAACAAUGGCUCGGUUUUGCUGGUAGUUGAUCGUUUGGCGGUAAACAGGGAUUUUGUUGUUCGCCCAACACAGAGGGACGAGACGAAACAAAAGAGAGAGAGAGAGAGGAGAACAGGCAAGAACGAAAAGAAGGAGAAGAGAGAGACGGGAAGCUCUUGCUUAGAUUGUACUUUUUGCGUUUUGAACAGCUCCAGUUUUUAACAAGAAGAUCGGGUUUGGAUUUCUCACUAGAACAACAUCACUGCAAGAAGGUUUUAGGAAUUGAUCCGUUGCCAUCUCACUAUGUGGACUUGCUGUUUACAGUGUUAUAAUUAUAGAUGUGAUUCUACUUCCUCUUUAUUUGUUUGCUAAGGCUGUUUUUUUUUUCUUUUUCCCUUUUGGUUCUUUGUUGAGGGUUUUGUUUUCUUCUUUAUCGUUAACAGAGUGACGAACUCAGUUUAUCAUGGGGCUUUGCAAUUCAGGUUUGAGCAUAUAAGCUUGGUGUCUAUUGGCUUGCUGGUGAAGUUUUCAGGGGCUUAAAAUUUAUCAGUCUUAUGUACAAUUGCAUGUUUACAGGGUCUCGAACUUGAUAUUGACCGGUUUGAUCUCUAGAAAGUAAAAUUACCGGCCAGGUUGGUAAACAUGAACAUGAAAUCCCUAUAUUUUGGUAACAGAUGGAUUCAAGUUGAGAACUUGAGAUCUAAACAUGGUCUUUGAUCUUUCAUUCUUUCAUAUAAUGCAGUUCAAGCUUGAUAUGCUGGACUGUUUGAAGAAAGGAUAUGUCUGCUGGAGCAAAUGACAACUUCCAAAACCAGUUUUGGGCUGGAAACCAAGAUAGUGGCAGCAUCCAUUCCUUUUAUGAUGUUGCUGCUAAUCCAGAUUCGUAUGGCAAAGGCACCAGAUUUUUGAGACAAGUAGAACAAUGUAUAAUGUAGUUUUACUAUAUCUAAUGUAUCUAUAACGUAAUUUCGAUGUAAAUUCAACCAUAUCAAUAGUAUACCCGCAGCACCGCGCGGGCAUUUUGCCUAAUAGGAAUAUAAAUGUGACAUUUGAAAUACCAUGCAA